Molecule: unclassified non-coding RNA, 378 nt
Filed under: uncultured bacterium
Lineage: Bacteria
Description: contains 16S-23S intergenic spacer region
Source: RNAcentral
UCCGAGUUGACCCCGGCAGUCUCCCACGAGUCCCCGCCAUUACGCGCUGGCAACAUAGGAUAAGGGUUGCGCUCGUUGCGGGACUUAACCCAACAUCUCACGACACGAGCUGACGACAGCCAUGCAGCACCUGUGUUCGAGUUCCCGAAGGCACCAAUCCAUCUCUGGAAAGUUCUCGACAUGUCAAGGCCAGGUAAGGUUCUUCGCGUUGCAUCGAAUUAAUCCACAUGCUCCGCCGCUUGCGCGGGCCCCCGUCAAUUCCUUUGAGUUUUAGCCUUGCGGCCGUACUCCCCAGGCGGGGCGCUUAAUGCGUUAGCUUAGGCACUGCCCCAUAGAGCGGGGCAACGCCGAGCAUCCAUCGUUUACGGCAUGGACUAC